GCAAGGCUGGCUUGGGUAACAAAGGCUACACUGCGUUAGCAGGCUCUUUUAUCGUUCACGGUCACCUCACUAAAUAGGACAAGUAACCUUUCAAGUUCAAACUCGGGCAGGUAUCGAAUGGUGUAUUAGGCGUAAACAGGAUGUUUAUCAAGCUCGUUUCACGACUAAUCUGCUCGAGGCAAUGAAUCAGCGGUUGAUAACACUAACAGGGACCAAACGUACGGGGAAAUUUUCACCGCAACUGGAACGUCUUUUAUUUCUCCUACAAGGGCAAAACGCAGUUUUCUUACUGGGUCGUUUGCUCUAUUAGGCCAAGGGUGAAGAAAGACAUGUAAAGGAAGCAAGUGGGCAGUUUCAUUUUUACCAUCUCUACAUAAGCUUCGAACUACGACAUUUUUCGAAACACAAGACGGAACUUCAGCGAAAACGAUCAACCCAUACAUGAAUACUGUCUCCGGAAAACCUUUGGAAGUAUGAAGUAGUCAUCCACAGAACUUAGUUACGUCCACUUUUAUAAUGGGCGGAAAAAUCAUCAAAAGGUGUUCGUGUUUUAAACGUUACAUCUAGAACUGGUAACGUCAUAGCGCCCUGCGUCCUUGAAAUAGGCGAAACUGUUGGUGAGCAAGCGGAUUUUUCCAUGGACUGCGGCCAAAUUGAGAACAGGGUCAGUAACGAACAGCGGGAAGUAUAUCUUUUGGCAAGGCAGCCCAUAUACCCACUACACCCACUUUUUUAUGCAGGUCGUGACUAAACGGGACUCUACCGGGUUUGGGCGAGCCAAUACAAGGUCGGUUCACGGAUGUGAAGUACAAAGUUGCGGUAAGAGCUUGUAAGUGGC
Molecule: long non-coding RNA, 838 nt
Filed under: Varroa destructor (honeybee mite)
Lineage: Eukaryota; Metazoa; Arthropoda; Arachnida; Mesostigmata; Varroidae
Description: uncharacterized LOC111245037, transcript variant X2
Source: RNAcentral